CAGGCGGUCUGUCAAGUCGGAUGUGAAAUCCCCGGGCUCAACCUGGGAACUGCAUUCGAAACUGGCAGGCUUGAGUCUUGUAGAGGGGGGUAGAAUUCCAGGUGUAGCGGUGAAAUGCGUAGAGAUCUGGAGGAAUACCGGUGGCGAAGGCGGCCCCCUGGACAAAGACUGACGCUCAGGUGCGAAAGCGUGGGGAGCAAACAGGAUUAGAUACCCUGGUAGUCCACGCCGUAAACGAUGUCUACUUGGAGGUUGUGCCCUUGAGGCGUGGCUUCCGGAGCUAACGCGUUAAGUAGACCGCCUGGGGAGUACGGCCGCAAGGUUAAAACUCAAAUGAAUUGACGGGGGCCCGCACAAGCGGUGGAGCAUGUGGUUUAAUUCGAUGCAACGCGAAGAACCUUACCUGGUCUUGACAUCCACAGAAGAAUCCAGAGAUGGAUUUGUGCCU
This 448-nucleotide ribosomal RNA is filed under the name Salmonella enterica. Its description in RNAcentral is "bacterial SSU rRNA". It matches the Rfam family "Bacterial small subunit ribosomal RNA", at positions 572 to 1019 of the family's 1533-position model. The record is from RNAcentral. Lineage: Bacteria; Pseudomonadati; Pseudomonadota; Gammaproteobacteria; Enterobacterales; Enterobacteriaceae.